Molecule: ribosomal RNA, 404 nt
Filed under: bacterium
Lineage: Bacteria
Description: partial 16S ribosomal RNA
Rfam family: Bacterial small subunit ribosomal RNA
Source: RNAcentral
UGGGGAAUAUUGCACAAUGGGGGAAACCCUGAUGCAGCGACGCCGCGUGAAGGAAGAAGUAUCUCGGUAUGUAAACUUCUAUCAGCAGGGAAGAUAGUGACGGUACCUGACUAAGAAGCCCCGGCUAACUACGUGCCAGCAGCCGCGGUAAUACGUAGGGGGCAAGCGUUAUCCGGAUUUACUGGGUGUAAAGGGAGCGUAGACGGUGUGGCAAGUCUGAUGUGAAAGGCAUGGGCUCAACCUGUGGACUGCAUUGGAAACUGUCAUACUUGAGUGCCGGAGGGGUAAGCGGAAUUCCUAGUGUAGCGGUGAAAUGCGUAGAUAUAAGGAGGAACACCAGUGGCGAAGGCGGCUUACUGGACGGUAACUGACGUUGAGGCUCGAAAGCGUGGGGAGCAAACAGG